UACGUAGGGUGCGAGCGUUAAUCGGAAUUACUGGGCGUAAAGCGUGCGUAGGCGGUUCGUUAAGUCAGCUGUGAAAGCCCCCGGGCUCAACCUGGGAACUGCGGUUGAAACUGGCGAACUAGAAUCUGGCAGAGGGGGGUGGAAUUCCACGUGUAGCAGUGAAAUGCGUAGAGAUGUGGAGGAACACCGAUGGCGAAGGCAGCCCCCUGGGCUGAGAUUGACGCUCAGGCACGAAAGCGUGGGGAGCAAACAGG
This 254-nucleotide ribosomal RNA is filed under the name uncultured bacterium. RNAcentral describes it as "partial 16S ribosomal RNA". It matches the Rfam family "Bacterial small subunit ribosomal RNA", at positions 524 to 776 of the family's 1533-position model. The record is from RNAcentral.